This 264-nucleotide ribosomal RNA is filed under the name uncultured bacterium. RNAcentral describes it as "partial 16S ribosomal RNA". It matches the Rfam family "Bacterial small subunit ribosomal RNA", at positions 793 to 1055 of the family's 1533-position model. The record is from RNAcentral.
GUCCACGCCCUAAACGAUGUCAACUAGUUGUCGGGGAAGCAAUUUCUCGGUAACGCAGCUAACGCGUGAAGUUGACCGCCUGGGGAGUACGGUCGCAAGAUUAAAACUAAAAGGAAUUGACGGGGACCCGCACAAGCGGUGGAUUAUGUGGAUUAAUUCGAUGCAACGCGAAAAACCUUACCUACCCUUGACAUGUAGCGAACCCGGUGGAGACACCGGGGUGCCCGAAAGGGAGCGCUAACACAGGUGCUGCAUGGCUGUCGU